GCACCCAAAAUUUUUCUUAAUCCAACAUCGAGGUCGCAAUCUGCUUUGUCGAUAUGAGCUCUCAAAAACAAUUACGCUGUUAUCCCUAAGGUAACUUAAUCUUAUGAUCAUAAAUUAUGGAUCAAAAUAACAAACAUAAAUCAAUGAUAUAAUAAUGAAGAGUUUAUUUAUUCUUCAUGUCACCCCAACAAAACAUUAUCCUUAAAUAUAGAAAGACCAUCAAAAAACUAUAUAAAAGUAAAAUGUUAAGCUCUAUAGGGUCUUCUCGUCCUAAAGAUAAAUUUAAGCCUUUUGACUCAAAAGUUAAAUUCAAAAAUUUAUUAAGAGACAGUUGAUUUCUCGUCAAGCCAUUCAUUCCAGCCACCAAUUAAGAGACUAAUGAUUAUGCUACCUUUGCACGGUCAAAAUACCGCGGCUCUUCAAAAUAUCGCUCAGUGAGCAGGC
Molecule: ribosomal RNA, 444 nt
Filed under: Anacridium aegyptium (Egyptian grasshopper)
Lineage: Eukaryota; Metazoa; Arthropoda; Insecta; Orthoptera; Acrididae
Description: 16S ribosomal RNA
Source: RNAcentral